CCUGGGCCCGCAGAGCCACGCGAGCGCUGGCCCGGAGGCUCGUGCUGCCCUCGUGCACAUCCCUCCCAUUGGCUGCUCAGUCCCUGUUUACCAGGAGCCCGACCAAUCAGUGAGAUCACUGAGGCGCGUGGACACGGUGUGCUCCUGGCGGGUUUUUUCCAUCGGAACACACUAUUUUCUCCAUUGGCUAAAGAUUCCUUAGGAAAGCAUAGAAACAGUGCUUGGAGGGAAUGGCAGAAUGGCUGUGGUUCUUAGAAGAGGUGGAGAGGACGGAAUCGAGGAUAAGAAUUGCAGGAGAAGCUUGAAAUGGCAGACUAGAUAGGACACCUUGCCUGGAAAUGUUCCGGCCGUUUUUGGCAAAGAUGCAGCUGAGUCUCUACUUUUCUACUGAUCACAGUUCAGGAAAUCACUGCAAUUACAAGGUUUUGAAGCCUUCGUCAGCCGCAAAGGUCAGGAAAAAGACAGGACUAUGGAAAAGAAGUUGAGGAGUUGGAGGAAGUUGAAGAGCAAAGAAAAGGAGGAGCAAAGACGAACGGCUUCUUUCAUCAAGAAAUGGAGCCUAUUUCUCCUCUGUUUGAAUCUGGGAUUGGCUGUGUGACUUGCUUUGGGAAAAUGGUGCCUUCGAGAACCUGACAGAAGAGAGGCUUGCGCAUGGGCGGGUAUUAUCUGCUUCUUCCUUCGUUUGAAACCCUGAGACCAUAAUCUCCAGCCAGCCUGCUGGAGAGAUCACAUGAAGUAAAGGGUUCAUGCACCCCAUCAUUCCAGCCAAUCCAGCUGUACCCAGAUGUGUGAGUGAGGCCAUCCUAGACCAUCCAACCCCAAAUGAAUCGCCUUGGACCUUCCAAGCCAACUCACGGAAUCACUGAAAAUAACAGAUUACUGUUAUUCUAAGUCAGAAAGCUUGGGAUGAUUUAUGCAGCGAAAGUGUAUCAAAAGGGUGAUGGUAGUUGCGGGAAAUAAACAUAUACCUUUAAUUGUAGAUGCACAAACAUCUUUGGAAUGAUACCUCCAAAAUAGAAAUUACUAUAUUGAAAGAGCACUCUGAGUACCCAGCAUGGUAGAUGAAAAUAGAUCAUGAAGUUUCAAAACAGCAGGAACAGGUAGAAGAUUCUAUAAACUUUUGGAAGGGAAAAGGGAGAACAGUUUAAGGCAAGUAACAAAGACUCAGAAUGGCAUCCUCUUCUCUGCAGUGUUGAUGCCCCCCAGUCUAUAACCAUCAGGAACAAACCUAUAGUCAAACCUGGGUCAUUGAAACAAAGGAGACGGCAAAUUCUAUGGGGAAAGUGUGGGACAGUUCUGCCUUUGGGAAUCUUGAUAUUUUAAUCUAGAAAGUGGAGGAAUGGUUGCAGCACUAAACACACAAUUGGUAAAGAAUCAACAGUCAAUGCAAAACUAAGCCAAGCAUGGUGGGCCAUGCCUGUGAUCCCUACUCAGGAGGCUGAGGCAGGAGGUUCACUUGAACCCAGGAAGCAGAGGUUGCAGUGAGCUGAGAUGAUGCCCCUGCACUGCAGCCUGGGUGACAGAGACUCCAUCUCAAAAAAAUAAAUAAAUAAAAGCAGAGAAACCAGGACUUAGAGCUGGUCCAGCGUGUUGGAGAUGCACUAGGAAAGGUGACUAUUCCGGCCCCUGAAGUCUCUAGCCAGAGCAGAGCAGAGAUGCCCAAUAGAGAAGGGAUUCUUGUGGCUAGGUCAGGGCUCUUCCUCCUGGACGCUUUGUCACCCAGGCUGGAGUGCAGUGGCACAAUCACGUUCACUGCUGCCUCCAACUCCUGGGCUUAAAUGAUCCUCCCACCCCAGCCUCCUGAAUAGCUGUGGCUAUAGGCACAUACCACUAUGCCCUGCAUAUUAAUUUUUUUUUAGAGAUAGAAAAAGAAUCAAUAGUCACUAUUAGUAGUUGGGAAAGGGGAUGCUUAAUCACAUUAUGGUUUGAACAGUGUUCUGUUUGUGCUCAAAUAUGAUUGUGAAAUAGUCUUUCUUUUAUCUCGGUUAGAGAGUGACUUUGUUAUUGAUGUGAAAUUUUUUAGUUUCAACUGGAGAACAUCAUGGCCUAGGUGUUUGUCAGACCAGCUCUAAGCUGAGAGUGGAGGACAAAGGUUACUUUUUUCUUUCUCAGAAGCGACUAUGGAAAAUACAAAACAACAAGGGCCAGGCGCGGUGGCUCAUGCCUAUAAUCCCAGCACUUGGCGAGGCUGAGGGGUGCGGAUCACUUGAUGUUAGGAGUUUGAAACCAGCUUGGCCAACAUGACAAAACCCUGUCUCUACUAAAAAUAAAAGAAUUAGCUGGGCGUGGUGGCGCGUGCCUGUAAUCCCAGCUACUCAGGAGCCUGAGGCAGGGGAAUCGCUUGAACCCGGGAGGUGGAGGUUGCAGUGAGCGGAGAUCACACCUCUGCACUCCAGCCUGGGCAACAGAAUGAGGUGAGACUGUCUGAAAAAAAGGAGCAGUGUCUUUGAAAAUUGAGAGAGAAAUUAUUUCAACCUAACUCUUUAUAUAUCUAUAUAGUAAAAUAUCAAUUAAGUGUAUGGGUAUAAUAGACAUUUUCAACAUGUCGCAUCUCAAAAAAUUUAUUUCUAAGACAACAACUUUAUAGAAGGUUUUGGAGGAUAUGCAUCAUCAAAAGGGAGAAGUGAGUGAAGAACGAACCCCCUGAGACCCAUGACACGGGAUCUAACAAAAGAGAGACAUAAUGGAAAGCCCAAGAUGAUACAGCAAACAGAAAUAAUAUGACAGCUGUGGGAUGAGCCUGAAGAGCGGGCCUUCGAGUGGAGUAGGUAGGAAAGCGCAGGAAAAAGUUCCUGAACAAGCAUACAAGCAAGAGAACCAACCAAAACGAUGUGUGUUUCUGUGUGUUGAGGGGAGAUUCGCAGAACUGGGGAGAAAUUGGAUCAUGUAAUAAAUAUAUGGACAACUAGCCAAAUGGAAAAAUAAGAUUGUCGCCAGGGUAAAUGCUGUACAAAAAAAAUCACUUAAUCACAUUAAAUAAUGUGACUCAUCUGUUAACAAAAUUUAAAACGAUGUUUGUAAUUAUAUAAAUGAUAUAUUAAAAUAUAUUGAUGCAACA
Long non-coding RNA from Callithrix jacchus (white-tufted-ear marmoset), 3058 nucleotides. RefSeq lists it as uncharacterized. The record is from RefSeq and is a predicted model, not a curated record. Lineage: Eukaryota; Metazoa; Chordata; Mammalia; Primates; Cebidae.